UACUCCUACGGGAGGCAGCAGUGGGGAAUAUUGGACAAUGGACCGAGAGUCUGAUCCAGCAAUUCUGUGUGCACGAUGAAGUUUUUCGGAAUGUAAAGUGCUUUCAGUUGGGAAGAAACAAAUGACGGUACCAACAGAAGAAGUGACGGCUAAAUACGUGCCAGCAGCCGCGGUAAUACGUAUGUCACGAGCGUUAUCCGGAUUUAUUGGGCGUAAAGCGCGUCUAGGUGGUUAUGUAAGUCUGAUGUGAAAAUGCAGGGCUCAACUCUGUAUUGCGUUGGAAACUGUAUAACUAGAGUACUGGAGAGGUAAGCGGAACUACAAGUGUAGAGGUGAAAUUCGUAGAUAUUUGUAGGAAUGCCGAUGGGGAAGCCAGCUUACUGGACAGAUACUGACGCUGAAGCGCGAAAGCGUGGGUAGCAAACAGGAUUAGAUACCCUGGUAGUCCACGCCGUAAACGAUGAUUACUAGGUGUUGGGGGUCGAACCUCAGCGCCCAAGCAAACGCGAUAAGUAAUCCGCCUGGGGAGUACGUACGCAAGUAUGAAACUCAAAGGAAUUGACGG
This 565-nucleotide ribosomal RNA is filed under the name uncultured bacterium. RNAcentral describes it as "bacterial SSU rRNA". It matches the Rfam family "Bacterial small subunit ribosomal RNA", at positions 334 to 916 of the family's 1533-position model. The record is from RNAcentral.